This 148-nucleotide ribosomal RNA is filed under the name uncultured bacterium. Its description in RNAcentral is "partial 16S ribosomal RNA". It matches the Rfam family "Bacterial small subunit ribosomal RNA", at positions 1352 to 1500 of the family's 1533-position model. The record is from RNAcentral.
GCAUACUGCCGUGAAUACGUUCCCGGGCCUUGUACACACCGCCCGUCACACCAUGAGAGUUGGGAAUACCCGAAGCCUGUGAGCUAACUUAUAGAGGCAGCAGUCGAAGGUAGAAUCAAUGAUUGGGGUGAAGUCGUAACAAGGUAAC